Lactuca sativa (garden lettuce) is the source of this 1552-nucleotide long non-coding RNA. RefSeq lists it as uncharacterized. NCBI's taxonomy places the organism in Eukaryota, Viridiplantae, Streptophyta, Magnoliopsida, Asterales, Asteraceae. The record is from RefSeq and is a predicted model, not a curated record.
GCCAAAAUCAUUGGGUUUCUUCAGGUCUUACUGCACUAAUGUAUGAAAAGGAUGCUCCAACCCUACCCUAUUUCUUCAGCUCUUCAACAAAUAAGAGGAAACGCAAUUUCUCAUUCAUCUCUCAACUUCAUCUUCUCAAUCAAGCAUAAAGGCUUAUGAUUUUUCUUGCAUCUACGAUUUCACCUGGUUUUUUCGAUUUGUCUUUUAUGCCUCUGUUAUUUUUCUGCAUCUACUUCUUAUCCUAAACACAACUUGAUUUCACCAUUUCAGCUUACAACUAUUGGUUUAGAACUUUAGAUCCUUCAAGGAAUUUGGGAAAAGAAAUGGCAUACCUAUUGCCACACCUUGUGAAGUUAAAUGAGUACAUUUUUUCACAUAAACGAGUUUCAUAUUUCCUUUUUUGUUUUUGUCAAAUUUUCAAAUUAUGAAUUUUUUCUUGUCGGGUUAUAUGGAAGUAACGUAUGUGGUGAAGGGGGAGCUGAAUUUCUUGCAAGUUCUUUUCAAAAUAUCAUUAUACAAUUAAUGUUAUUUAUUUUUGUUAUAAACAUGAAACAUUUACCAAAAAGCCCUCCCCCACUAACCAGACAUAGCAGCCAACCAGUACCCCGACCAAGUGGCAAUUUAGCUACUAGCACACCGUUGUCUCCUACACCCACUUCCAUUACUCUUCAGCAAGCAGAUCCUAAACGUGAUUCACGAAGGGAUCCUCGUCGCCAUGACCCAAGCCGUGUUGUUGGAACCCCAUCAGACCAUAUUGUGGAAGAUGCUACAAGUCUGACACAGAGAGUCUGAUUUUGAUGCCUCUAUUCUGUUUAGACAACUACAACCUGCUCCACCUGUUAAUGAUGAAUUAUAAAUUCUUAUACCUAAAAUAGAAACCAAGUUUCAUAUCCCAGAAAAUAUUACCAACCAAUCAUCUUUUACAAAACAGAUUCCUAAUGAACAACAAGUUGGUCCUGAUGAGAAAUUGAAUAUUGUUUCAGAUGUAGCAAUUUCUCCUAUUGACUCACAUGAACAAAAGUCAACGGAUAUUAUUACAAUGACAGAUGAAGACCACCUGCCAUCAUCUUCAUUCUUGGACGAGGAUCAGCUUUCACCACCAGGCAGAGUGGAGACGGCUGUCAUGGAGGAAACAUAUGUUGAUUUACCUGCAGUUCCAUCUUAUGUGGAGUUGACUGAAGAAGAGCAAACAGAUGCAAGGAAAAUGGCAAUCAAAAGGAUUAUAGACUGUUGGGUUAAUCGUUAAUUUAUCGGGUCACAGUUAAGACAGGCGGAGUUUAUGCAGACACGCAUGACAUUGCUUUCUCGACUGGUUGCUUAGGUGGGGGUAGACUCCUCUUUUGAUUGGUUAACGUUUCUCCAGUUUAACUGCUUUCCUUGUUUCUCCUUUGGGGAUAUAUUCUUAUUGUUUCUAACUUUCUUUUGUAAAGGAAACCAAUACACGUUUUAUAUGUGAGAUAAUAUAAUAUGUUCUUUAUAAUAUAAUUGAUUUUUUUGUGUGUAUAAUGUGGUUCAUGUUGUAAUGUGUCAUGCUCAAAUCAUUCAUAUCUAA